Molecule: unclassified non-coding RNA, 432 nt
Filed under: soil metagenome
Description: partial contains 5.8S ribosomal RNA, internal transcribed spacer 2, and large subunit ribosomal RNA
Rfam family: 5.8S ribosomal RNA (bases 1-120)
Source: RNAcentral
GAUGAAGAACGUAGCGAAAUGCGAUACGUAAUGUGAAUUGCAGAAUUCAGUGAAUCAUCGAAUCUUUGAACGCAUAUUGCGCUCUCUGGUAUUCCGGAGAGCAUGCUUGUUUGAGUAUCAGUAAACACCUCAACUUCCAUAUCUUUUUUGAAAUGGGAGUUGGACUUGAGUGAUCCCAACGCUUUUCCUCACCGAAAAGUGGCGGGUUACUUGAAAUGCAGGUGCAGCUGGACUUUUCUCUGAGAUAUAAGCAUAUCUAUUUAGUCUGCCUAAAAAACAGAUUAUUACCUUUGCUGCAGCUAACAUAAAGGAGAUUAGUUCUUGUGCUGACUGAUGCAGGAUUCACAAAGACAGCUUCGGCCGACUUUGUAAACUCGAUCUCAAAUCAAGUAAGACUACCCGCUGAACUUAAGCAUAUCAAUAAGCGGAGGA